AUUUAUUUCUCCUGCAGAUUAAAAUAAGUUGCACUUGAGCCGACUGAAGCCGGAAUGACAGUUUCCUCAUUGCUGAUGACCAUCACCAUCAAGACGAGCGCAUCGACCAAUGUGUCGUGACCUCCCUGAAGAAGCCAAAAAGACAUUGCAGGUGCAGGAUCUUGGGGGCCAAGGUGGUUCUCUGCCACAAUGGAACUUGUCCUGGAAGCCACCCUGCAUGCAGAAUUUGGUGACGGUCAGCCUCGUACACGAUCUUGUUACUCACGCAGCGCUGGAAGAAGUCAAAAGGAUGUCAGUCUUUGACGCAGAUCAACUCAGACCUUGAAGCAGGAAAUCUGCUUCACUCGUCGGUCCAAGCCGGGUUCAGGUUCUCCAGGGCCAAGAUGCUUUUGCACCACCUAGUGGACAUGAGCGAAGAGUAGUGAAGAGUGUUCAAACCCAGCGAGGGCCAGCUGCAGCCUCAAAGUCCAGCAUCUCAGUCCUCAGGCAGCGGCGCUUCAAGUGGAGGUUGUCAUAACUGCACACAGAAGCAGGAUGUAAGGAAUGUUUGCUGCAAAGGCACAAUCUUCUACCAUCACCAUUGGAGAUGAAUGCAUUUUGGGUGUUGUGACAUGUUCCCACCUUAAUGAUGUCAUCACAGGAAUAAAUCUGUUAGCUUUUGC
Molecule: long non-coding RNA, 662 nt
Organism: Phyllopteryx taeniolatus (common seadragon)
Lineage: Eukaryota; Metazoa; Chordata; Actinopteri; Syngnathiformes; Syngnathidae
Exons: 4
Source: RefSeq, a predicted model, not a curated record